GUCGCCCCGCCCCCCGUCGGCCCGCCCCCCGUCGGCCCGCCCCUCUGCGUGCCCGGGGCCGUCCCCCCGGCGCGCACUCUCGCGCGACUCGCUCCGGAGAUCGGCUCUGAGUCCUGGGCCUUCUUAAAAUCUUACUGGAUACUUCAGGUUGCCCUUGAACUCACUUUGUAGCCCAGGGUGGCCAGAGACUCAGAGUGAUCCUCAUGCCUCGGCUGGGAUUGCAGGUGUGCACCACUACAUCUGACUUUGUGAUUUCUUUAAGAAAUUCAAAUUCAUAUGAAUUUGAAGAAGUGGUAUUGGAAGGAGGGGACCCCAUUUAACUUCAUGUAGCCAUAAGGCAUUGGUUUUCAAGAGGUUUGGCUAUUUGUACCAUCUCUUCAAAACCCUUUAUAAUACUUAAAACAGUUACUCAAGUGAAAGAGCACUACCUGUUUGAAUAUUUUGAGUUUUACUUUUUGUUGUUGUUGUUGUUCUGGGGAUUGAGCACAUUGAACUGUCUCUUUAGUUCUUAUUUUUUUAUGUUUUUUUUUUUUUUUUUUUUUGGUACUGGGGUUCGAACUUGUGACCUUGUGUUUACCAGGCAGGUGCUUAUGCUGCUGAGCUAAAUGCCUGGCUUUUUAAAUUUUUUUAUUUGUUUACUUUUCACUUUUUGUUUUGAGACAGGAACUUGUCAACUCACCAAAUUUUCCAGGCUGGGUUCAAACUUGGGAUCCUCCUGCCUCAGUAUCCCAGAGUACUGGCAUUGCAGAUGUAUGCCACCACAUCAGGCUAUAUUUUGAGAUCUCUUAUGGGACAGGGAAAGAUAAGGAUUUUAUUAAUAAACUUAAAUGUUCACUCAAUUUGUUUCAGCUGAAGCUAUCCCUGAAAAAGUGAUUUUUAGUAGAGGCAGUGUAUCAUUGUUUUUCCUCAGUGAUGUUUACAUUCUCAGACUUAUGGGUGGGUAAACAAUGGUUGGUAGCAGGCAGGUCUGUUCCUCCUAGCGUCUGCAGGCAGGGUCAGAGUGUUAUGGUGCUGUUCUGCUUCAAGGCCUCCAUUUCGGUGACUGAACAUGUGUUCUGUGCACACAGCAGUUACUGACCGGAGGAAGGACAGAAUGCUGGGCAUGUUGUAAUGAGGUAGGGAGGCUUGGAUGUGUGAUUGUGUAGGGAAGGGCAGUGUUGCUUGUGCGUUAGGUCCCUACAUGAUUGGUGAUUCCCUCCCUGGCUGCCAUCUUCCAUGAAAUGCCCAUUUUACCCAUAGACAAAGCAAAAA
Molecule: long non-coding RNA, 1251 nt
Organism: Cavia porcellus (domestic guinea pig)
Lineage: Eukaryota; Metazoa; Chordata; Mammalia; Rodentia; Caviidae
Exons: 2
Source: RefSeq, a predicted model, not a curated record